RNAcentral lists this microRNA precursor (94 nucleotides) under Ovis aries (sheep). RNAcentral describes it as "miRNA (ENSOARG00000023979.1)". Lineage: Eukaryota; Metazoa; Chordata; Mammalia; Artiodactyla; Bovidae. The record is from RNAcentral.
AUCACCUGGGCAUUUUGUUUGAGAACAGAUUCUGAUUCAGCAAGUCUGGGACAAGAGAUUCUGCAUUUCUAACAAGUUGCCAAGAGAUGCCAGU